RNAcentral lists this ribosomal RNA (326 nucleotides) under uncultured bacterium. RNAcentral's name for it is "bacterial SSU rRNA". It matches the Rfam family "Bacterial small subunit ribosomal RNA", at positions 28 to 355 of the family's 1533-position model. The record is from RNAcentral.
GACGAACGCUGGCGGCGUGCUUAACACAUGCAAGUCGAGCGGUAAGGCCCUUUCGGGGGUACACGGGCGGCGAACGGGUGAGUAACACGUGGGUGACCUGCCCUCAGCUCUGGGAUAAGCCUGGGAAACCGGGUCUAAUACUGGAUAUGACUCCAUGACGCAUGUUGUGGGGUGGAAAGCCUUGUGCGGCUGAGGAUGGGCCCGCGGCCUAUCAGCUUGUUGGUGGGGUGAUGGCCUACCAAGGCGACGACGGGUAGCCGGCCUGAGAGGGCGACCGGCCACACUGGGACUGAGACACGGCCCAGACUCCUACGGGAGGCAGCAGU